ACGGAGGGGGCUAGCGUUGUUCGGAAUUACUGGGCGUAAAGCGCACGUAGGCGGACCAGAAAGUUGGAGGUGAAAUCCCAGGGCUCAACCUUGGAACUGCCUUCAAAACUAUUGGUCUGGAGUUCGAGAGAGGUGAGUGGAAUUCCGAGUGUAGAGGUGAAAUUCGUAGAUAUUCGGAGGAACACCAGUGGCGAAGGCGGCUCACUGGCUCGAUACUGACGCUGAGGUGCGAAAGCGUGGGGAGCAAACAG
RNAcentral lists this ribosomal RNA (251 nucleotides) under uncultured prokaryote. RNAcentral's name for it is "partial 16S rRNA". It matches the Rfam family "Bacterial small subunit ribosomal RNA", at positions 525 to 775 of the family's 1533-position model. The record is from RNAcentral.